AGAAUCAACGCUGGCGGCGUGCCUAACACAUGCAAGUCGCACGAGAAAGGGACUUCGGUCCUGAGUAAAGUGGCGCACGGGUGAGUAACACGUGAAUUAUCUACCUCCGAGUGGGGAAUAACUGAGAGAAAUCUUAGCUAAUACCGCAUAACACUUACGAGUCAAAGCAGUAAUGCGCUUGGAGAGGAGUUCGCGGCCGAUUAGUUAGUUGGCGGGGUAAUGGCCCACCAAGACGAUGAUCGGUAU
Molecule: ribosomal RNA, 246 nt
Filed under: uncultured bacterium
Lineage: Bacteria
Description: partial small subunit ribosomal RNA
Rfam family: Bacterial small subunit ribosomal RNA
Source: RNAcentral